This 1297-nucleotide long non-coding RNA is filed under the name Drosophila guanche. Lineage: Eukaryota; Metazoa; Arthropoda; Insecta; Diptera; Drosophilidae. The record is from RNAcentral.
GUCCCCUUUCCCCCCCAUACUAAACACACUAGCACUUCAUUUUAAACGUUAUAAUAUUUAAACCAAAAACUUAACACAUACUUAACUAAAAAUCCCUAUACUAAUGUCUCGUGGCGCGUCCGCCUAUUCCCGACUCUUCAACUUAAAUUAAUGGGUGGGAAUAAUCACAAAAAAAUAAUAAAUAUAAAUAAUAAAAUAAAUAUAUAUACAAAUACUACAUUUAUAUUACAUUAAUAUGGUCGGUAAAUAUAUGUGGGGUGGCUAAUUAAUUGAAUAUUAAUUAAUAUAGACAGAUAUUAUUUUUGUGUGUCUUUAUAUACGCAUGUAAAUAGGUAUGCGUUUAUGUAGGCGUAGAUUAAUUAUAUUAAUUGUCGGUGGCGCUGUGGCGGGUCGCGCCCGAGCAGGGGUGUGACCAGGAUUCCGCGGGCCGGGGAAUGGUAAUUUUGGCCCAUCUACGGGAAGCCAGCCGAUACAAUUUACGCCCUAUGGGUUUUAAAAAUAUUGAAUCUGGGAUUCAUUUUCCCUUUGGACUGGACUCACUUUUUAUUUCGAUUCGGGUAAAAGGGUCCUCUACGUUGGCCGGUCUGUUUUUUUUUUCCUUAACGGUCACACACACAAAACGCCCUAACACUGCCGAUGUGUAUUUUCCCACUGCCGGCAUGUUCAGCGUAGCUACUCUACGCAGUCCCCCUUGCUGCAGUUGAUCUCAUCUCUUCUACUGCCCUUGAACCAAAUUCAAGGGCAUCACAUGGCAUUCUUGAGGGUGAGCUGGCUCGUGGAUCCCGCAAUAUUCCCCUCUCUGACAUUCUCCCGCUCUCUCACCGGCACCGUUGAUCGCCUUGCCCCUUCGCCUAUCGACCUAUCAACCUCCAAAAAAAUACUACCAAAUCUAGUAUUUUGCAUAUCGCUCUCCUUCGAAUGCAACAUGUGGGAGAAGCAGACGAGGAAACACACACACACACACACAAUAUGCUUGCACUGCACACAGCACCCUACCCAGGGCUCUUCAUACCCUUCAUAACCCAUUGCCCGCAUUGCCCUUCUAUUCUACGAUGUUCUGGCGUUGUUGCUAUAGGGCUCAAAAGGCGAUGACGGCGGCGAUCUUACCGCUGGGAGCGGUGGCUCUCCCGUCAUCCCGACUCCAAUGCCGAUAUUUUUGGCUCCCUUUUUGUCUGCCGAAGACUUCGGCCUGCGUUUCCUGCGGGCGGGAACGCUCGACGUCGAGCUCGCGCCAACACUAGCUAGGCUAGCGUCGCUGGCAUCUGCCUCGGUGUCCAUGUCCAUGGUCCGAUAACCA